GAACGCACAUUGCGCCUCCUGGUAUUCCGGGAGGCAUGCCUGUUCGAGCGUCAUUAAAAUCACUCAAGCUUAGGUUUACCUAUUGCUUGGUCUUGGAGAUGGAAGCCAAUUCAUUGGAAUCCUCUUCGAAAUUCAAUGGCGAAGACCCUUGCUCUCCCAAGUGUAGUAAUAACUUAUGUCACUGAAGGAAGCGAGAAAUCUUCUGCCGUAACCCCCAUAUUUUCUAUGAUUGACCUCGGAUCAGGUAGGGAUACCCGCUGAACUUAAG
Molecule: unclassified non-coding RNA, 268 nt
Filed under: uncultured Pyronemataceae
Lineage: Eukaryota; Fungi; Ascomycota; Pezizomycetes; Pezizales; Pyronemataceae
Description: sequence contains 5.8S rRNA gene
Rfam family: 5.8S ribosomal RNA (bases 1-53)
Source: RNAcentral